This 365-nucleotide ribosomal RNA is filed under the name uncultured Bacteroides sp. RNAcentral's name for it is "bacterial SSU rRNA". It matches the Rfam family "Bacterial small subunit ribosomal RNA", at positions 331 to 695 of the family's 1533-position model. The record is from RNAcentral. Lineage: Bacteria; Pseudomonadati; Bacteroidota; Bacteroidia; Bacteroidales; Bacteroidaceae.
CGCCGCGUCGACGGAGGCAGCGGUGGGGAAUUUUCCGCAAUGGACGAGAGUCUGAACCAGCCAAGUAGCGUGAGGGAUGACUGCCCUAUGGGUUGUAAACUUCUUUUAUAAGGGAAUAAAGUGCGCCACGUGUGGUGUUUUGUAUGUACCUUAUGAAUAAGCAUCGGCUAAUUCCGUGCCAGCAGCCGCGGUAAUACGGAAGAUGCGAGCGUUAUCCGGAUUUAUUGGGUUUAAAGGGAGCGUAGGCGGGCGAUUAAGUCAGCGGUAAAAUAGUGUGGCUCAACCAUACUCCGCCGUUGAUACUGGUUGCCUUGAGUUCGCACAAGGAAGAUGGAAUUCGUGGUGUAGCGGUGAAAUGCUUAGAU